GAUGAAGAACGUAGCGAAAUGCGAUACGUAAUGUGAAUUGCAGAAUUCAGUGAAUCAUCGAAUCUUUGAACGCACAUUGCGCCCGCCAGUAUUCUGGCGGGCAUGCCUGUUCGAGCGUCAUUUCAACCAUCAAGCCCCCGGCUUGUGUUGGGGACCUGCGGCUGCCGCAGGCCCUGAAAUGCAGUGGCGGGCUCGCUGUCACUCCGAGCGUAGUAGUUACAUCUCGCUCUGGGCGUGCUGCGGGUUCCGGCCGUUAAAAGCCUUAUUUACCCAAGGUUGACCUCGGAUCAGGUAGGAAGACCCGCUGAACUUAAGCAUAUCAAUAAGCGGAGGA
RNAcentral lists this unclassified non-coding RNA (334 nucleotides) under soil metagenome. Its description in RNAcentral is "partial contains 5.8S ribosomal RNA, internal transcribed spacer 2, and large subunit ribosomal RNA". The stretch from base 1 to 120 matches the Rfam family "5.8S ribosomal RNA", at positions 35 to 154 of the family's 154-position model. The record is from RNAcentral.